Salmo salar (Atlantic salmon) is the source of this 53-nucleotide non-coding RNA. Lineage: Eukaryota; Metazoa; Chordata; Actinopteri; Salmoniformes; Salmonidae. The record is from Rfam.
AUAUUUCACACAUUAAGUCGCUCUGGAUAAGAGCGUCUGCUAAAUGACUUAAA